This 747-nucleotide ribosomal RNA is filed under the name Trophon geversianus. RNAcentral's name for it is "partial 16S ribosomal RNA". The stretch from base 1 to 581 matches the Rfam family "Bacterial large subunit ribosomal RNA", at positions 1817 to 2925 of the family's 2925-position model. Lineage: Eukaryota; Metazoa; Mollusca; Gastropoda; Neogastropoda; Muricidae. The record is from RNAcentral.
GGCUCCUUGUAAAAUUUAAAUAAGGAGUCGAACCUGCCCAGUGAAAUUUUUUAACGGCCGCGGUACUCUGACCGUGCAAAGGUAGCAUAAUCAUUUGCCUUAUAAUUGAAGGCUUGUAUGAAUGGUUUGACAAGAGUGAUGCUGUCUCUUUAUAAUUUAUUAAAAUUUUAUUUAUAGGUGAAAAAGCCUAUAUUUUAUUGAAAGACAAGAAGACCCUAUCGAGCUUAAAAUAAAUCAAUAAAAUUAAAUUAAUAUUUAAUUAUAAAUUUUAUUAUUGAAUACUUUAGUUGGGGCGACUAAGGAACAAAAAAAGCUUCCUUUUAUUUUAUAUACAGACAAGUAAUGAUCCAAAAUUUUUUGAUUAAAGAAAUUAGUUACCGUAGGGAUAACAGCAUUAUCUUUUUUAAGAGUUCUAAUCGAAAAAAAGGUUUGUGACCUCGAUGUUGGACCAGAAUAUCCUAAAGAUGCAGCCGUCUUUAAGGGUUGGUCUGUUCGACCAUUAAAAUUCUACGUGAUCUGAGUUCAGACCGGCGUGAGCCAGGUCAGUUUCUAUCUUCAAUUUUUAUAAUAGACUUAGUACGAAAGGACCAGCUUAUUACAAAGUUUUGUUUUUUUUGACAAAAUAUAAAGAAUCAUUAAAUUAAUAAUUUUAUUAUUAAUCAAAUUAGCAAAAUUUAAUGCAAUUGACUUAGGAUCAAUAGAUAUAGGUGAAAUACCUUUAUUUGAUAUAUAGAAGUGGCAGAUAAA